This 253-nucleotide ribosomal RNA is filed under the name uncultured bacterium. RNAcentral's name for it is "partial 16S ribosomal RNA". It matches the Rfam family "Bacterial small subunit ribosomal RNA", at positions 524 to 776 of the family's 1533-position model. The record is from RNAcentral.
UACGGAGGGUGCGAGCGUUACCCGGAUUUACUGGGUGUAAAGGGCGCGUAGGCGGUUCUUCAAGUCCGAUGCUAAAGACCGGGGCUCAACCCCGGGCGUGCGUUGGAUACUGUGGGGCUAGGCGGUCGGAGAGGGUGGCGGAAUGGUCAGAGUAGCGGUGAAAUGCGCAGAUACUGAUCGGAACGCCGAUAGCGAAAGCAGCCACCUGGACGACAAGCGACGCUGAGGCGCGAAAGCGUGGGGAGCAAACCGG